CGUUGUUCGGAUUUACUGGGCGUAAAGCGCGUGUAGGCGGCUUGGCAAGUCGGAUGUGAAAGCCCACGGCUCAACCGUGGAAGCGCAUCCGAAACUGCUUCGCUCGAGUCUCGGAGAGGAAGGUGGAAUGCUUGGUGUAGAGGUGAAAUUCGUAGAUAUCAAGCAGAACACCUGCGGCGAAGGCGGCCUUCUGGACGAUGACUGACGCUGAGACGCGAAAGCGUGGGGAGCAAACAGG
RNAcentral lists this ribosomal RNA (238 nucleotides) under uncultured bacterium. RNAcentral describes it as "partial 16S ribosomal RNA". It matches the Rfam family "Bacterial small subunit ribosomal RNA", at positions 539 to 776 of the family's 1533-position model. The record is from RNAcentral.